GACGAACGCUGGCGGCGUGCUUAACACAUGCAAGUCGAACGGUAAGGCUCCAGCUUGCUGGGGUACACGAGUGGCGAACGGGUGAGUAACACGUGGGUGACCUGCCCUGCACUUCGGGAUAAGCCUGGGAAACUGGGUCUAAUACCGGAUAGGACCAUGGUGUGGAUACUGUGGUGGAAAGUUUUUUCGGUGUGGGAUGGGCGCGCGGCCUAUCAGCUUGUUGGUGGGGUAAUGGCCUACCAAGGCGGCGACGGGUAGCCGGCCUGAGAGGGUGGACGGCCACAUUGGGACUGAGACACGGCCCAGACUCCUACGGGAGGCAGCAGUGGGGAAUAUUGCACAAUGGGCGGAAGCCUGAUGCAGCGACGCCGCGUGGGGGAUGACGGCCUUCGGGUUGUAAACUCCUUUCACCAUCGACGAAGGGUUUCUGACGGUAGAUGGAGAAGAAGCACCGGCUAACUACGUG
Molecule: ribosomal RNA, 466 nt
Filed under: uncultured bacterium
Lineage: Bacteria
Description: partial 16S ribosomal RNA
Rfam family: Bacterial small subunit ribosomal RNA
Source: RNAcentral